AUAAAUGCAAGGAAAAAGAGUGUGCGUCGUUUUCGCCAUCCAGAGAGCCGGGGGCUGCUGAAAACCCGGUAUGGCGGUGCGGCGUGCUGUCGCUUUUGAGCAGAGGCGGGGAAACAAGAGUAGUCGCCUCCGGGUCUGCCCCACGUUAUCGGGGCAUCAAGGGGCAUGCGGCAGAAAGCCGUGUGCAAUUUGGGUGGUACCGCGGUUAUAUUACAGCCGUCCCAUGG
This 227-nucleotide non-coding RNA is filed under the name Faecalibacterium prausnitzii. RNAcentral's name for it is "T-box sequence". It matches the Rfam family "T-box leader". Rfam says of the family: Uncharged tRNA acts as the effector for transcription antitermination of genes in the T-box leader family. T-boxes are found upstream of many aminoacyl-tRNA synthetase genes and some amino acid biosynthetic genes usually in Gram-positive bacteria. The anticodon of a specific tRNA base pairs to a specifier sequence within the T-box motif, and the NCCA acceptor tail of the tRNA base pairs to a conserved bulge in the T-box antiterminator hairpin. Lineage: Bacteria; Bacillati; Bacillota; Clostridia; Eubacteriales; Oscillospiraceae. The record is from RNAcentral.